GGGGUGGGGGGAGGGGGUAGUUGGAUAGCAUGAAGGAAAACGGUCAACCCAGAUAAUUUGUGAAGAAAGUGAACAGAACUGAUGUAAGAAUGAGAAAAGCUCAAGUGCUUAUCCAUUUGAAUUAUUGGGCCGAUCUCCAGAAAAUUGGCCCUUGACUAAAUAAUACCAUGACUAAACAUGUAUUAUUUUCUCCCAAGACAUCCUACCAAACAACCCCUUAAGGUUCA
This 227-nucleotide long non-coding RNA is filed under the name Solanum tuberosum (potato). RNAcentral describes it as "long non-coding RNA (STUB_LNC001223)". Lineage: Eukaryota; Viridiplantae; Streptophyta; Magnoliopsida; Solanales; Solanaceae. The record is from RNAcentral.